GCGCUCGCUUCGGCAGCACAUGUACGAAAACUGGAACAACACAGAGAGGAUUAGCAUGGCCCCUGCGCAGAUUCCUCAGCUCCAAGUUUCAAGCCUCCAGUUUUC
This is a small nuclear RNA of Artibeus jamaicensis (Jamaican fruit-eating bat), 105 nucleotides long. The record is from RefSeq and is a predicted model, not a curated record. Lineage: Eukaryota; Metazoa; Chordata; Mammalia; Chiroptera; Phyllostomidae.